UAGCGAUCUCCAGCCGUGUGCGUUCCUGCGCAAAUAACCACACGCCUGUCCGCCCCUCCCACACUUGUUAAGUAUGCCUACUGCUGUACUGUUGAGCUGCUGUUAACUUUCAUUAAAGUAUAUCCGGACCUCA
Molecule: long non-coding RNA, 133 nt
Organism: Oreochromis aureus
Lineage: Eukaryota; Metazoa; Chordata; Actinopteri; Cichliformes; Cichlidae
Exons: 2
Source: RefSeq, a predicted model, not a curated record